CUAGAGUAUGGUAGGGGUAGAGGGAAUUCCCGGUGUAGCGGUGAAAUGCGUAGAUAUUGGGAGGAACACCCGUGGCGAAAGCGGUCUACUGGACCAGAACUGACACUGAGGGACGAAAGCCAGGGUAGCGAACAGGAUUAGAUACCCCCGUAGUCCUCGCCGUAAACGAUGGAUACUAGGCGUUGUCGGUAUCGACCCGGUCAGUGCCGAAGCUAACGCGUUAAGUUCCCGCCUGGAGUCCCC
RNAcentral lists this ribosomal RNA (243 nucleotides) under Synechococcus sp. B6. RNAcentral describes it as "partial 16S ribosomal RNA". It matches the Rfam family "Bacterial small subunit ribosomal RNA", at positions 641 to 883 of the family's 1533-position model. Lineage: Bacteria; Bacillati; Cyanobacteriota; Cyanophyceae; Synechococcales; Synechococcaceae. The record is from RNAcentral.